Molecule: long non-coding RNA, 1042 nt
Organism: Gossypium raimondii (Peruvian cotton)
Lineage: Eukaryota; Viridiplantae; Streptophyta; Magnoliopsida; Malvales; Malvaceae
Exons: 4
Source: RefSeq, a predicted model, not a curated record
AAGCUUAAGCAAACAAUAUGUAGCCCAACCUAAUUGGAUUUCUAACUGGUUGAGGUUCACGAGGUGUUCGAUAAUUUGCCCGAGAAAGAACUCCCGCCAAUUUUAUUAAGGCUCCGUUGGAUUCCACCGAACCCACGUUUCAGUGCGAUUUCAAUCUAUUUUUGUGCAAUCGCAGCAGGUGAAUCUUUUUGGAUAGCAAUAUUACGGUGCGGUGGAAAGACUCUCAUCACGCCCGGAGAGGCAGGGAUUCAAGUUCGUUUUAAUAGUGUUGGUGGUAAUUUAAUGGCAGGGAUUCAAGUUGGUUACUUUACCAGAGCUUCAACUCUCUUCUGAUUUUGAUUAGGAGGCUUCACUAAGAGUAACCGGAAAGCAAUAUUGCAAGCACAUACUGGUAGGAAUGUUGAUGGUAUUGCUAGUAAGACAGUUCCAAGCUGAGUGCAUGUACAAUGCAACUACUUAAUGAAGUUUUGGAUUUGAACACACUUGCUUGGGGAUUUCAAGAUCUCCAUGUCAGAAAUGAAAAAGGGCUUCUUCUAUUUUCUUCCCCAAUCAUCCAUUGCGUUACAUAAGGAGAAGUUUCUGUGAAGAAGGAGCCACAACAACCCAACUUAACUUUUCUAAGUAAUCUGUUGAUACAAGGCUGGAGUUUUGUGGUGGUUUAUGGGUUAUCUGACGGGCGGAGAGCAGUAGGUAAUGAUAGUGGCCAGAGUUUGACUUCCUUGAGGGGCUGGAGCAUGAGAUAGUUGAAGAGUGUGACUGUUUGAGUCUAGAGCGAGAAAAGAGAGAGUUGCCCUGUUUUGGUGUCCGUGGAUUUUAAAAGGAACUCUUCUGAUCAUUUUCAAAGUCUCGUGUCAUUUUGGUAUUGAUUUUCUAUUGUUUGGAGUCCAAUCGACCUACAUAUAUCCCAUCACACGUGAUUGAGAAUACAUGGAAGCUCCAAACGAUCAAUUGGAACUAUCAGUGACUAUGCUUACGAGGUUAUGGGUUGCAAGGUUUUGACUAUGCUACGUUUAAGUUGGUAAAGAGUAUCUUUGGAUGAGUA